GAUGAACGCUAGCUACAGGCUUAACACAUGCAAGUCGAGGGGAAACGAUAGAGAAAGCUUGCUUUUUCUAGGCGUCGACCGGCGCACGGGUGAGUAACGCGUAUCCAACCUGCCCACCACUUGGGAAUAACCUUGCGAAAGUAAGACUAAUACCCAAUGAUAUCUCUAGAAGACAUCUGAAGGAGAUUAAAGAUUUAUCGGUUAUGGAUGGGGAUGCGUCUGAGUAGCUUGUUGGCGGGGUAACGGGCCACCAAGGCGACGAUCAGUAGGGGUUCUGAGAGGAAGGUCCCCCACAUUGGAACUGAGACACGGUCCAAACUCCUACGGGAGGCAGCAGUGAGGAAUAUUGGUCAAUGGGCGAGAGCCUGAACCAGCCAAGUAGCGUGCAGGAUGACGGCCCUAUGGGUUGUAAACUGCUUUUAUAAGGGAAUAAAGUGAGCCUCGUGAGGCUUUUUGCAUGUACCUUAUGAAUAAGGACCGGCUAAUUCCGUGCCAGCAGCCGCCGUAA
RNAcentral lists this ribosomal RNA (508 nucleotides) under uncultured bacterium. Its description in RNAcentral is "partial 16S ribosomal RNA". It matches the Rfam family "Bacterial small subunit ribosomal RNA", at positions 28 to 523 of the family's 1533-position model. The record is from RNAcentral.